Molecule: ribosomal RNA, 399 nt
Filed under: uncultured Glomeromycotina
Lineage: Eukaryota; Fungi; Glomeromycota
Description: SSU rRNA
Rfam family: Eukaryotic small subunit ribosomal RNA
Source: RNAcentral
AGCAGCCGCGGUAAUUCCAGCUCCAAUAGCGUAUAUUAAAGUUGUUGCAGUUAAAAGCUCGUAGUUGAACUUCAGGCCUGGCUGGACGGUCCGCCUUCCGGGCGAGCACUGUCUGUGGUCGGGUCCUACCUUCUGGCGAAGCGUCAUGGCCUUUACCGGCCGUGGCGGGGAACCAGGACUUUUACUGUGAAAAAUUGAGUGUUCAAAGCAGGCUCGCGCUUGAAUACAUUAGCAUGGAAUAAUGGAAUAGGACGAUGGUUCUAUUUUGUUGGUUUCCAGGACCGUCGUAAUGAUUAAUAGGGAUAGUUGGGGGCAUUAGUAUUCAAUUGUCAGAGGUGAAAUUCUUGGAUUUAUUGAAGACUAACUACUGCGAAAGCAUUUGCCAAGGAUGUUUUCAUU